RNAcentral lists this ribosomal RNA (521 nucleotides) under Vandammella animalimorsus. RNAcentral's name for it is "bacterial SSU rRNA". It matches the Rfam family "Bacterial small subunit ribosomal RNA", at positions 98 to 615 of the family's 1533-position model. The record is from RNAcentral. Lineage: Bacteria; Pseudomonadati; Pseudomonadota; Betaproteobacteria; Burkholderiales; Comamonadaceae.
GCGAACGGGUGAGUAAUACAUCGGAACAUGCCCAAUUGUGGGGGAUAGCUCGGCGAAAGCCGGAUUAAUACCGCAUAAGAUCUACGGAUGAAAGCAGGGGACCUUCGGGCCUUGCGCGAUUGGAGUGGCCGAUGGCAGAUUAGGUAGUUGGUGGGGUAAAGGCCUACCAAGCCUGCGAUCUGUAGCUGGUCUGAGAGGACGACCAGCCACACUGGGACUGAGACACGGCCCAGACUCCUACGGGAGGCAGCAGUGGGGAAUUUUGGACAAUGGGCGCAAGCCUGAUCCAGCAAUGCCGCGUGCAGGACGAAGGCCUUCGGGUUGUAAACUGCUUUUGUACAGAACGAAAAGUCUCUGGUUAAUACCUGGGGAUCAUGACGGUACUGUAAGAAUAAGCACCGGCUAACUACGUGCCAGCAGCCGCGGUAAUACGUAGGGUGCGAGCGUUAAUCGGAAUUACUGGGCGUAAAGCGUGCGCAGGCGGCGAUGCAAGACCGAUGUGAAAUCCCCGGGCUCAACCU